UACUGUGGAUAUACGACCCAGAUACAGACGCAGUGCAAUCGGGAUAAACUGAAUAUCAUUAUUUAUCUAGAUAACAACACCGACUCACUACACUUAAUUUUUUUAUCAUGAACGGUAUUUCUAAAUUGAAUGCGAUUACAAUACACUAUUGGACAUAAAGAAAUAUACAUAAUUAAGACCAUGAAACGGAUUGUUCUUUGCGUAUGCGUUGGAGUAAUACUAUUUCAGCUGGUAUUUAUGUGCACGCUUCAUUACUUUUAUAGCGGCGCGAUAACAAGAAUUGUACCCGAAACGUUGCGAAAUAGUACGACAUCACCCAGAGAGUGUUGGCCAACUACAACGUUUUGUGGAGAUAUACUUAGCGAACCAUCUUGGAUUGCUAUAGAUCAUCGGAAUUCUAAAUUUGAAUUCUCGGCGUUCUACGACCCAGUGUCCAACAUAAUAAUCAUCGUGGGUCUGAACUCAAGAUUUAACGGAGGUGUAUGUCAGAUAUGGUAUACGUCAGAUAACAUGACAUUUCUUGCAAAAGAAGAAAGUGGCAUUGAAUUGUACAGGACACUACCCGAAACGCAUGGGCGGAGAUACUCUGCUGUCUUAUAUCGAUGCACGUCGAAAUCGAAAAAGAAGCCUGCUUUUAUAUCUUUCGUUGAAACAGACCGUUUCAUUUCCAAAGGUCUUCUUGUUAAAUCCAUAGAAAUACCAAAACGAUACAAACAUCGCUUUACCGUUUGUCUAAUGCCUCUACACAACAAUUUUAAUGAUUCGUAUGCUCUUGUGCAGUGAAUUGAACUUAACCUUAUUCUUGGCGCAGACAAAUUUCGUGUAUAUAAUCAUUCUUCGUCUCAAAGUAUUAAGACUAUUUUAGAUAUGUACUCUGGCAGAAACAUAACUGAGGUUGUUCAGUGGUCUAUUCCAGUGACGGACGUGCAUUAUUUUGGACAGGUUGCGGCACUGCAAGACUGCCUGUAUCAAAACAAAGCGGACUCAGAAUUUAUCGUAAAUUUAGAUUUGGAUGAAUAUAUUGUCCCAAGGGUAGAAAAUAUCGACACAUGGCCAGAUCUCAUUGCAAACUCGCCGGCUGAGGCUUUUCUAUUCCGCAAUACAUUUUUUGUGACAAAUUCACGGGAACACAAUUAUUCAGAGAAGGCAAUAGCACACAAAUUACGACUUUCAACACUUCUGAUGACAAGGCAUGAACCUAAAAUCUGGUCUCAUACACGAAGAUCAAAAUACAUCGCACGGACUUCGAAGGCGAGGUCUCUGAUGAUCCACGACGUGCCAUGGGACGCCAUUGGAGUACAAGCAGAGCGCGUGCAGUCCGAUCGAGCAAUGGUAUUCCACUUCCAACAUGCGGCUAGUGAGCCAAACAAUGGGACGACGUAUAUUAUAGAUGAAACUGUCCGAAAGAAAUAUGGGGAAAUGUUAAUAAGAAAUGUUCAGCGUGCUUGGAAUAGAAUACUACGCGGGUGAUCGGAGGUUUUAACUAUUCGAUGCAUUUCUUAUCACGUUCGGUAUGAACACACAAACUCAUUGCGUGUGUUAAUCUAAAGUGAACAUUAAUAGUUGGAUGCAAAUGGUUUUUGGAUUUAAUCUGUAAGUAUUCUAGUUAAACUUUGAAGUUCAUUUCUCGAGAGAUGAAGUGUGCUAAAUAUGUUAAAAAAUAGUACAUGAUUUAAUACAGGCAUCUCCGUCGACUUCAUCAACCGGAAAUUUCAAAUCAUUAAAUACCUCGGCAUUGAAAAUUUCUGAUCAUUUUAGACCUGGGUAGUGUGUGAUCAUUUUAGAACUUGUAAUGUGCCAAACAUAUUUAUUAUAAUAAGCUCGAUUUAAUCAAACGCUUUUUAUGUUUAAGGUUAAAUGCAACCCUUUAAAUUCCGUUCCUUUGAUUGAAUCAGUAAUGGGUAUAUGGAGGAGGUCUGAAAUAUUCUCCACGAGAAAGAAUUGAAACCGUGACCUCCAAAUUGCUACGCGGACACCAUACCAACUAUUUUACGUAGACCUAAUCAUCUGAUUGCAUAGCUGAACUAUUCGUGUAAUAUCGUUAACUGAUACAUAAUAGUAACGCUAAAUUCAGAUUGCAAGCGGCUAUUUAACAUAGAAGAAGUUAAGGUAAAAGAGACCUUUGAUUAUAAGUCAUGUUUCUUCGUUUUGGCAGUAAACGUCGUUGACCAUGGUCAAAUAAGAUAGGAUUCUACCACUCGAUGUAUCAGUGUUCAUCACACUAGCAUUUGCAAAACUUACCUUUAACAUGUUUACAUGGAAAUGAACACACAACUGCAUUUUUUCCUGAGUGAUCAGCGUAACAAUUUAGUCAAAGCGUAAUUGGAUAUUGAAUCUUUGUUUUCUUUGACGCUGACCUUCACCUUGGAAUAUUGUACCUACUUAUCUAUAUAUCUUCCGUUGCUACCAAGUAUAUGCGGCAUACCUAAAAACACGCAGAAUGAGAAUACAUUCUCGGUUUAAAAAGCUUGCAUACAAUUGUUUACGAAACAACUAUCAACCAUUAAGUAACACUCAUUAUAUAACAUGAUAAGUUGAUUAAAAAGUGUUCAUAUGAAAGUUCAUACUUCAAAGUUUAUAAAAUAAACAUUUAAAUACCAGUUUAGUUAAUUACCCGUUUUCCGAGAACUUUCUGUCGAUAAGAAAAUAACACAACACAUUAAAAUCGUAUCUUGAAUACUUAAUAUAGGAAAACUUGGGAGUUGUGUUUGCUUGUAUUGGUUGAUUGGUAUUUGCCUACACAAACAGAUGUUCAAUCCUACAACAGGCAACUGGCUCUCAUCUGUCAUGGGCUAGCUCAUUUACCCGUGAUAUGAAUAGAUCUUCAAAGGCCAGUAACUUGCAGCUGCCCUACUUAAAUCAGAGGUAUUGAUCAUUGCCGUAGAGUUAUUAAAACUCCCCACACCCAUAAGAUGGCCCGGGACGGGUUUAAAUCCGCAAAAGUCAGAUUUUCAGUGCUCUGACAAAUGGUCUACCAGCCGGCUCAAAAUAUAUUAAAUGUGCAUGCAUGUAACAUAACGAUUGAAUAAAUGCUUAUUCAACACGUUGCUAUCAAAAUGUGUGUAUACCUACAACAUUUUACACUCUAACAGUUUAAUUCCGAAAGAAGCAUAUAAUUAAUAUUGAUUAUAUUUCGUAUAGGGAAAGCCAACGUGAUUUGUUUUCUUAAAAUUAUCAACGACAUUCGGCUGUUUAACAAGAAAAAAAGUAACUUUUUCCGGAACAUUUAAUCCCAAAUUUCCAAAAAUAUCGCUAAAUUGUCCCGCUUAAAUCAUUAUAAAAAUGCAGAGGAGCGAAACUCCUGUAAACCUGCAGGACAUGCAUAACAAUGUCUCUCUUUUUUUGCAGAUUGCAAAAUGACUGUUACAUUCGAUUUGAUUUGUAAAAACAACACCAUACUACAAUAUAAUUACGAUUAUUGACCAAUCACAACAUGUGUCACAAUUUAUCUAGUUUGUUUUAAACACACAUCCCAUGAUAAUGAAAUUAGGUAAAGAGUAAUUUUAGUCGGGAAUACACAGGCACAUUUACCCUGACCGAUCUAAGCAACUAUUUGUCGGUUGCCGUUGUGCUUAUUAAUGUUUCCUUAUAGAUUAAGAAUUUUUUUCGAACGAAACACGAUAUUGAAUCUACCCCUAUAUGAUUCUCUGCGCGUGUUUACCACAAAGUAAAGUAAUAGGACAGAUAACCACUGUCCCAAAGAAUGGCCGCUACGAUUUAUGUGUGUUCGUGAUGAAAAUUACGUAUAAAAUUCAUUAUUGAUAAAACAGAAAAAGCAAUAUUAUGAAAGUUACCACUUUUCAGCAUUGUGUGAUAAUAUUAUGAUCGUAAUUAACAAUUUUUUAGUUACUAAAUAUGUAAACCACGUAGUGGACAAUAGCCCAUUUGUUGUUGUAUCUUUCGAGAAGAAACUAACAAUCUUAAGUCACGCUUUCAAAAUAUGUGUACAUACGCUUGACUUUAAUAAAUACUUAAGAUUUAAUGUGUUAACAACUAUACGAAAUUAAGAAUGAUCAGGGCAUUGUUUACAAAAACAACAUCAGGGCUUCUGGGUUAAUGAUAAACAGUCAGCCAGCAUCUGCUGUGCAAGUGAAAGCUGUCAUUAACACAGCACGAUUUGCAAAAAAUGUAAACCACACUUCCUUUAGUGAUCAUAGUCUAAUAUUUUGUACUAGGAAAGUUAGUAAAAUUCCUAUUAGUUCUCAUAACAAUGUUACUUUAAGAUCUUUAAAAAAUUAUAACACAGAAGAUUUUCAGGCAAGUCUUUUAGCCAUUGACUGGACUCCAGUUCUGUUAUGUGAUAGUGUUAAUGAAGCUUGGUGUAUUUUUAAACAUCUAUUUUUAUCUGUGAUAGACAACAUAGUUCCUGUAAAACAGACUAGAAUUAAGCAGAAAACAGAACCUUGGAUAGACUCAGUCAUUCUCAGUGCUAUGAAUGAAAGAGACAAGGCAUUUUACAAUUAUAAAACGGAUAUAAGUGUAGAUAAUUAUAACAUAUUUAAGACUCUUAGAAAUACAGUUCAGUUACUUGUUCACAAUGCUAAAAAAAAAUUAUUUAAAAAUGUACUUGAUCAAAAUAAAGAAGAUUCAUCAUCCUUAUGGAAAACUCUUAAAAAUCUUGGUUUGCCUUCCAAGAAAGGUUCAGCAAUAUCUGGUUCCAAUAUUUCGUUAAACAUUGAUAAUAAUAUUUGUUUUGAAAAGAAUCUUAUUGCUGAAACAUUUAAUGAAUUCUAUACAACUAUUGCAUGUAAACUUGUUGCAAAAUUACCUGAAAGUGUACACAAAUUUGGUGUUAAUUUUGUUAAUUAUGUUUAUGCAAAUAAGGGUGUUUAUGCUUAAAGUUAUUCUUUUUUCAUUGUAACUGAGAGUAAAGUUCUUAAAUAUUUAACUUCACUUGGUACAAAGAAUGCUACUGGCUUAGAUGGCAUACCUUCGCGUUUUGUCAAGACGGGUCCUCUGUUAGUGUUAGUCCCUUAACUCACAUCAUUAGUUUGUCCCUCAUACAAGGUCAAGUCCCCGAUGAUCUUAAGACGGCAAGAGUUGUUCCCCUCUAUAAAAAGGAUGACAAAUUGUCUGUAGGUAAUUACCGGUCUGUGUCCAUAACAUGUUAUUUCUAAAUCCUUGAAAAGGUAGUUUAUGACCAGGUUAAAUCUUAUUUUAAAGAUAAUAAAUUAUUGUAUAAACUUCAGUCAGGUUUUAUAAGUGGCUUCUCCACUAAUACUUGUUUAUUUCACCUAACAUAUUUUAUCAGGUAUGAACAUGAUAAAGUUAAUAUUGUUGGCAUGGUUAUGUUAGAUUUACAGAAGGCGAUUGAUACAGUCGACCACUCAAUUCUUCUCAUAAAACUUGUCUGAUAGAAACCGGCUUGUUGAUGUUUCCGGUACCUUUUCUUUUAAGGCCAGUAUAACCUGUGGUGUACCCCAAGGCCCAAUCCUUGGACCCCUUCCUUUUCUAGUUUACGUGAAUGAUAUGUCAGCUGUGGUUAAAAAUAAAUUGUUAUUAUAUGCUGAUGAUUGUGGAAUCCUUGUUUCUGGUAAAAGUGUACUUGAUGUUGAAAAGGCACUAACAGAUGAUAUGAACUUGGUUAGCCAAUGGUUGAUCGACAAUAAGUUGUCAUUGCACUUAGGUAAAACUGAGUGAAUUGUGUUUUGGUCUAAGCAAAAACUUAUGUCAUAAUCUAGCAUUGAUAUAUCUUGUAAUGGUACACCCAUUUCUUCUACAUCAUCCGUUAAGUAUCUUAGAAUUACCCUUGACCAAAAUCUGUCUUUCUGCUCAAUGGAUGAGUCUCUUUUGAAAAAGGCCAAUUCUAGGUUAAAAUUCCUUUAUCGUGAGAAAGAGUUCCUUACUUUGCAUACGAAUAAACUUCUUGUAAUGUCACUGAUCCAGUGUCAUUAUGAUUAUGCUUGUUCUGUUUAGUACAAUAGUAUAACUCAGUCUUUAAGAAAUAAGUUACAAACCUGUCAAAAUAAGAUAAUUAGGUUUGUUGUUGACCUUGAUUCUAUAGUUCAUAUUGACCAAUCUCACUGUAUGUCCCUCAACUGGCUACCAGUUCACAUGAGAGUAAAUCAAAUACUGGUAUGUCAUGUCUUCAAAAUAAGAAAUGGCCUUUUUCCAGAUUACUUGAGUGAACACUUUGUUUCCCAAGAUUCUAUGCAUAAUAAUAUCACUAGGAUUAGUAAAAAGGGUGGGUAUUGUUUAUCCAAGGUCAAAUGUCAUGGUUCCAAAUCCUUUUUUUUAAUAGCAUUAAACUCUGGAACUCUUUACCUGAGUCACUCACAGAGGUCAACAGGUUAGAAGGCUUUAAAGUUGCCAUUAAAAGUAAUUUAAUGAAUAAUAUUUACAUUUUUAUAUAUGUGUAUCUUUUCACUUUUAAUAAGCAGAUAUUAACUUCGGCUUAGGUUUUUUUACUUUUAAUAAUUAUUAGUUCAUACUUCAUAACAUACAUUUUAGCAAUAUAUUUAAUUUAGAUACUUCAUGAUACCUCAUUUUAUCAAAUUACAACUGUCAAAAUAUCUAUACGUUGCAAUAAGUGAUAACAUUAUCAAUUGAUCUUAGUCUCCAACUCCUGUCAUAUUUUCUGAACACUACUGUGAUAAUUAGUUUGAUCUCUUUUGAACGGUGAUAUAUAUUUUUUAUUUCAUUAAAUAUUUUUUUUACUAUGAACAUAGUUAUGUUUAAGGCCAACAUAGAAAUGUUUAUGGUCUGCCUCUUUUUGUCAUGCCACCAAUAAUAAGGACCACAAUUGAAAUAAGGGAUUGUUCAUUGUGUGUUAUCCUUGGUUUGGUGAGCAUACCAUAGUUUAUUGUACAUGAUAUAGUUUUAAUAAUUGCUUAUUAUUUUAUUUUAUUCUAUGUUAUGUUGUGAACUGUGUAUAUGCGUCCUAUGCCGAAAUAAAUCUAUCCAUCUA
Dreissena polymorpha is the source of this 6907-nucleotide long non-coding RNA. RefSeq lists it as uncharacterized. NCBI's taxonomy places the organism in Eukaryota, Metazoa, Mollusca, Bivalvia, Myida, Dreissenidae. The transcript is spliced from 2 exons. The record is from RefSeq and is a predicted model, not a curated record.